AUGUGUCGUAGCAAGAGGAUGGGGGGUAUGGGUUUUCGGGAUUUUGAGGCUUUUAACCAGGCCCUACUCGCCAAGCAAGCAUGGAGGUUACUCAUCAAUCCAGAAUCACUUUGUGCUCGAGUAUUGAAGGCAUGCUAUUUUCAGAAUACUAAUUUUCUUCACGCGGGCUGCCCCAAAAAUAGCUCUUUCACUUGGAAAAGCAUUCUGUUUGGCCAUGUGAUACGUCCAUUUUGCAUCAUGAUUUUAUAUUGA
This 252-nucleotide ribosomal RNA is filed under the name Triticum aestivum (bread wheat). RNAcentral's name for it is "partial small subunit ribosomal RNA". Lineage: Eukaryota; Viridiplantae; Streptophyta; Magnoliopsida; Poales; Poaceae. The record is from RNAcentral.